UGUUAAAAGUUUUAUUCAUUUUUAUUGAUAAGAAUCGACGUUAUUGACAAAAUAACCAGACAAUUACACGUGGUAUGCCAAGUAUGCCUCAUACUAAUAUACAGAGACAAAUUUAUAACAAUAGAAAUAGAUGUAAUUUUUGUGG
This is a non-coding RNA of Gossypium raimondii (Peruvian cotton), 145 nucleotides long. The record is from Rfam. Lineage: Eukaryota; Viridiplantae; Streptophyta; Magnoliopsida; Malvales; Malvaceae.